CAAUUUAUUCUUUCUACAGAGCAAGGCAAUUCAGUCUUCUUUCAGACGUCGUUGAUGCAAGAUUUCAAGAAUAACAUUUACAGAUAAAAGGUGUGUAACCAUCAUGAAUUCCAGGCUUGUCGUUGUGUUUCUUUUGUGCGCCAUCCUUGUCGUCUCCGUGACCUCUAUGCGUGCGAAAUGGGAUGAUUUCGAGAGAGAUGAGGACUACGAGGAAGACUGGCCUAAUUUCAGGAACGUCAAACGAGGGUGCAAAGACAACUUUUCUGCUAAUACCUGCAAACAUGUGAAAGCAAACAAUAACUGUGGAUCACAAAAAUAUGCAACAAACUGUGCUAAAACUUGUGGUAAAUGUUAAACAAGAACCACGAACAAAUAAGGAAGCCGCUAAAACAACAAAAGUAGAUUAAAAAAAUAUAUCCUUAAUGUGUUAUAAAGUUUGCCAGUGAUCCUUUCGUUUGUUCAUUGUUUCACAUACUAUAACAAACAAAAGUUUUAUUCUAUAUAUGUAUCCCAACUUAAACUGUCAAUUAAAAAUCGAUGACAAACGUUUAAAUAAACGAUAUAAUAAACAGUA
Molecule: long non-coding RNA, 574 nt
Organism: Actinia tenebrosa (Australian red waratah sea anemone)
Lineage: Eukaryota; Metazoa; Cnidaria; Anthozoa; Actiniaria; Actiniidae
Source: RefSeq, a predicted model, not a curated record